Molecule: ribosomal RNA, 446 nt
Filed under: uncultured bacterium
Lineage: Bacteria
Description: SSU rRNA
Rfam family: Bacterial small subunit ribosomal RNA
Source: RNAcentral
AGAGCGAACGCUGGCGGCAGGCUUAACACAUGCAAGUCGAACGGACCCUUCGGGGUUAGUGGCGGACGGGUGAGUAACACGUGGGAACGUGCCUUUUGGUUCGGAACAACUCAGGGAAACUUGAGCUAAUACCGGAUGUGCCCUUCGGGGGAAAGAUUUAUCGCCAUUAGAGCGGCCCGCGUCUGAUUAGCUAGUUGGUGAGGUAAAGGCUCACCAAGGCGACGAUCAGUAGCUGGUCUGAGAGGAUGACCAGCCACAUUGGGACUGAGACACGGCCCAAACUCCUACGGGAGGCAGCAGUGGGGAAUCUUGCGCAAUGGGCGAAAGCCUGACGCAGCCAUGCCGCGUGAAUGAUGAAGGUCUUAGGAUUGUAAAAUUCUUUCAGCGGGGAAGAUAAUGACUGUACCCGCAGAAGAAGCUCCGGCUAACUUCGUGCCAGCAGCCGC